GUAAGAUAAAGGCAAACCUGUCGAAAGGCAGGGACGCAAAGCCACGGGUCUAAAGCAAUUGCUAGGGCAGCCGGGCUACCAUG
This 83-nucleotide non-coding RNA is filed under the name Anaerocolumna jejuensis. RNAcentral describes it as "c-di-GMP sequence". It matches the Rfam family "c-di-GMP-I riboswitch aptamer". Rfam says of the family: GEMM was predicted in a large-scale screen for bacterial structured RNA regulatory elements. Genes associated with GEMM are involved in a diverse array of functions, including chemotaxis regulation, signal transduction, secretion and chitin. RNAcentral also lists the same sequence under 1 other name. Lineage: Bacteria; Bacillati; Bacillota; Clostridia; Lachnospirales; Lachnospiraceae. The record is from RNAcentral.